This 103-nucleotide microRNA precursor is filed under the name Marmota monax (woodchuck). The record is from RNAcentral. Lineage: Eukaryota; Metazoa; Chordata; Mammalia; Rodentia; Sciuridae.
AGUGGGAUAACUGGAUUAAAUGGUGGUUCCAUUCCAAGUUUUCUGAGUAAUCUUCAUACUGCUUUCCAGAGUGGUUGCACCAAUUUGCAGUCCCACCAGCAAU